UCCUGAAGGAACGUUGAAGACGACGACGUUGAUAGGUCGGGUGUGUAAGUGUAGCGAUACAUUGAGCUAACCGAUACUAAUGAACCGUGAGGCUUAACCUU
Molecule: ribosomal RNA, 101 nt
Filed under: Citrobacter freundii
Lineage: Bacteria; Pseudomonadati; Pseudomonadota; Gammaproteobacteria; Enterobacterales; Enterobacteriaceae
Also listed under: 1 other name
Description: partial 23S ribosomal RNA
Rfam family: Bacterial large subunit ribosomal RNA
Source: RNAcentral